Mesoplodon densirostris (Blainville's beaked whale) is the source of this 381-nucleotide non-coding RNA. Lineage: Eukaryota; Metazoa; Chordata; Mammalia; Artiodactyla; Ziphiidae. The record is from the annotation of a RefSeq genome assembly.
AUGUUCGAGGCUGUGUCACUGUGUGCUGCGUUCGGCGGAGGGACCAAGCUGACCGUGCUGGGUCAGCCCGCGUCUGCGCCCUCAGUCACUCUGUUCGCGCCCUCCACUGAGGAGCUCAGCGCCAACAAGGCCACCCUGGUGUGUCUCAUCAAUGACUUCUACCCGGGCAGCGUGAAGGUGGCCUGGAAGGCAGGCAGCAACACCAUCACCAGGGGCGUGGAGACCACCCAGCCCUCGAAACAGAGCAACAGCAAGUACGCGGCCAGCAGCUACCUGGCCCUGACGGCCAGCGAGUGGAAAUCUUACGACAGGGUCAGCUGCCAGGUCACGCACGAGGGGAGCACCGUGGAGAAGACAGUGUCGCCUUCCGAGUGCACUUAG